This 673-nucleotide ribosomal RNA is filed under the name Cellulomonas sp. G03 114-5. RNAcentral describes it as "bacterial SSU rRNA". It matches the Rfam family "Bacterial small subunit ribosomal RNA", at positions 66 to 749 of the family's 1533-position model. Lineage: Bacteria; Bacillati; Actinomycetota; Actinomycetes; Micrococcales; Cellulomonadaceae. The record is from RNAcentral.
ACGGUGACGAUGGAGCUUGCUCUGUCUGAUCAGUGGCGAACGGGUGAGUAACACGUGAGUAACCUGCCCCCGACUCUGGAAUAACCGUGGGAAACGACGGCUAAUACCGGAUAUGAGACGCACGGGCAUCUGUGUGUCUGGAAAGAUUUAUCGGUCAGGGAUGGACUCGCGGCCUAUCAGCUUGUUGGUGGGGUAAUGGCCCACCAAGGCGACGACGGGUAGCCGGCCUGAGAGGGCGACCGGCCACACUGGGACUGAGAUACGGCCCAGACUCCUACGGGAGGCAGCAGUGGGGAAUAUUGCACAAUGGGCGCAAGCCUGAUGCAGCGACGCCGCGUGAGGGAUGAAGGCCUUCGGGUUGUAAACCUCUUUCAGCAGGGAAGAAGCGAAAGUGACGGUACCUGCAGAAGAAGCGCCGGCUAACUACGUGCCAGCAGCCGCGGUAAUACGUAGGGCGCAAGCGUUGUCCGGAAUUAUUGGGCGUAAAGAGCUCGUAGGCGGUUUGUCGCGUCUGCUGUGAAAACCUGAGGCUCAACCUCGGGCUUGCAGUGGGUACGGGCAGACUAGAGUGCGGUAGGGGUGACUGGAAUUCCUGGUGUAGCGGGUGGAAUGCGCAGAUAUCAGGAGGAACACCGAUGGCGAAGGCAGGUCACUGGGCCGCAACUGACGCUGA